GGGAAUAUAGCUCAGUGGUAGAGUGUCUAGCAUUGUGAAGCCCUGGGUUCAAUCCCCAGUAAGGCCA
This 67-nucleotide transfer RNA is filed under the name Heterocephalus glaber (naked mole-rat). It matches the Rfam family "tRNA". From Rfam's summary of the family: Transfer RNA (tRNA) molecules are approximately 80 nucleotides in length. Their secondary structure includes four short double-helical elements and three loops (D, anti-codon, and T loops). Lineage: Eukaryota; Metazoa; Chordata; Mammalia; Rodentia; Bathyergidae. The record is from Rfam by way of RNAcentral.